UAAGAAACGGUGUCGUUUCCCUCUUCUUCCGCCGUCCAUCUUCUAGAUUCUUCUGCAAAUGCUCCCAACUUCCUGUAGAAUACACUGAAGCUUUCUCAAGAAGGAUGGAAAUGGCGGCCCUUAAACCCCAUCAUCGCAUUGGUCAGUUUUAGCACUAAUUUUCCUCUUUUGUGUAGCAGCAAAUUUUGGGAUUUGUAUAAAGUUUGGUACUUUAUUUUAUUGGGAGAUUUUAGUUAUAGAAUUGUUCGUUUAAUUGCAUGAUUACACCAUUCAGUGUAGGGAAUUUUGUAUAAUGCUGUAUUGUUUAAUUAUGUUUACAUAUGUGGUAAUGUUAGAAAGAUUGAAAGACUGAAUUAUUUUGUUAAGGUGUAUUUUCUGUUAAAUUUGAAUUUGAUUUAGAAUUAGAAUUAGAAUUAGCUUAGAUGUGUUGUAAAUGAGUGGCUUAAGCUGAGUGUAGGUAAGUUCGGAUAAGGCCUUGUUCUUUUGGACUUAUUUUCAGUUGCGUUCAUUUCAGUUAACUCUCUGCAUUUCAGUUUCUCUCAGUUCAGUUCAGUUUCUGUGAGUUUAAAAGAAUGGGGUUUAAGUUUAGAUAUGUUCAGAUAAGUCAAAUUUAGUUGCAUAGAACCCGUCCUUAGGAAACAAGAAAUAUGGGAAGCUUGGUAUUUUAAGUACUUGAAGAUGUUAAGCUUGAUGCUUGUGUUGAUUCGGUUUUAGUGUAGAACUGAGUCGAGCUUAGGAGUAUACAUCUUUUCUCUUACAUGCAGUUAAACUAUUGGGACACGUUUCAAACUUUGCCAAAAUGGUGAAAGGAAGGAAUUCUUAUAGUUUGAAAUAUACUUUAGCAAUGUCGCUCAAGUGCCAAAUUUUUGGUCGUAAGGACAAUGAUGAUGAUUUAUACUUUUGACUGACGGUCUAUUGUAUUGGUCCUUUUGGUUUGAUGGAAAAUGAUUUUUCAUGGAAAAACAUUUUCUAGUGGAAAACACAAUUGUAGAUUAAUUUUCCAUUUUCUGGUUGCUUGUGUGAAGAGUUAGAGAGAAUAGGAAGGAUUUCAAAGAAAGGAGGGGUGGAGAGAAAAGAAAGAGGAAGGUGAAGAAUAAGCAGGAAAAUGUGGCAUUUCUUCCUUGAAGAAGGAAAUUGUUUCUAUGGGAGUCUCUGGUGGUGCUGACAGUAUGGCCUUAUGUGCUCUGAUGGCACAUUGGAAGACUUUUCCCAAUGGUGGUUGUUUUGACAGUUCUGGCUUUGUAGAUGGCUUACUUGCUAUUAUUGUUGACCAUGGGCUCCGGUUGGAGAGUAAAGAAGAGGCGGUGACUGUUUCUCGCUGGGUUUCUGACAUGGGAAUCAGAUACAAGAUUGUGCGUUGUGAUUGGCCUGAUGGUCACCCAAAGGUGGGGCACUUGGAAGAAAAAGCUCGUGAUAUGAGGUAUAAUAUUUUUCAAGAUGUUUGCUUCCAAAAUGAGAUUGGUGUACUACUUACUGCACACCAUGCAGAUGAUCAGGCUGAGUUGUUUAUCCUGAGGCUAUCUCGCAAUAGUGGAGUGCUUGGACUUGCAGGAAUGGCAUUUACUUCUCAGUUAUUCUGUAAAUUUCCAUGUUUUGUUAGUGGUUCAUUAGACUAUCAAGGCAUUCUAUUGGUACGGCCCCUCAUGGAAUUUACAAAAGAAGAUCUAUACAAGAUAUGCACUACCGAGGAUCAAAAGUGGGUCGAAGAUCCCACAAACCGAAGCUCAUUAUUUGCUCGAAAUAGGAUUCGUAUGGAAUUACAAGAUACGAAAACCUGUAGAUUCAGAUCUGAACUACAAGGAGUAAUUGCUGUUUGCAGGUGUACACGAAUGUAUGUUGAUCACAUUUGUCGGGUUCUGUUGGAUGAGGUUGUGACCAUAAUGCCUCAUGGCUAUGCUGUCAUUGACCUGGAGAGUUUGAACCCAAUGGAAAGAGAGGAUAUCUAUCUGUCUAGAUUUUUGGCUCUAGUUUUGCAGUUCAUCUCGCAGAGGCAUAGGCCAGUACGUGGAAGUGCUUCAAGGCUGCUGCUCGACUAUAUACAAACUUUUCCUUGCAAGACCUCUCUCACAGCAGCUGGUUGUUAUCUCUGUGCAGCUCCUGGCAGCAAAGGAACCAAAGUCCUUGUUUGCUGCUCCGUUCAAUCUGCUCUUCCUGCAAAAACAGAAUUAUAUUCCACAUAUUCUGGCCAAGGGAGGAAGCAAUGCUUUUCAUAUGAUGUGGAGCAAAUAGUCGUAGAUCAAAAAUCUCUACUAGAGCACAUGGUUCCAGAUGCUUCACAUGUUCAUUUUCUAGAUGCGGUGUCUUCUGACUCUGUUCUGGCUGAAUCCCAGCAGCUCAAAAUUCUUAGCGAGUCAACCUCCGAGUACAUCUCACAGUUGCAGAUGAAAGAGAAACAAAUAUUUAAGUCUAAGUCAGAAAUUAGAUCUAGCAGUGAUUCGAAGAAUGAAGUAGAAUUGGUGCCUAUUAAAGAACCUUUUCAACCAGGGCAAACAUGUUACUUUAUGAACAGGUUCUUUGUGACAUGGAUAUCAAAUGAUGAAAUUGAUUCAUGUUAUAAUUCCUUAGAAGAUGGUGACCAAACAAGGCAUCAGGAUUGCAGUGUGUGCAAGAUGGGUGACAUGGUAGCUUAUGUUCGUCACAUGAUUGAUAAAGACUGGCUGUUUCUUGCAAAAUUGUCAAAGGCUCAGGAUUCCUACAAUUUUAAACAGCAGCAGUUCCUACUUAAUAAUGCAAUGGAGCAAGUGAAUGGGAAUAUGAGCUUAUUUUGCAACUAUGCAAGGUCAUCAGCUCAACAGGCCCUAAGAAACUUGAAAUCUAUUCCUGUUGCUGCUCGAAGAGGUUUACCUGUCGUAGUUAGCGUGGAGGGUAUCCUGUUAAGCAUUCCAAGCAUCGGUUUCAAGCGAUGUCCGUCCUUGUUGAUAUCUGCAGAAUUCAGUCCCAGAGUACCACUUGGUGGAGGACAUAGUUCUUUCAUUUAGUUCGCUAAUCUUCAGUUUAUGUGACGACAGGAUCAUUUCAACAGUUGCUCCAGCGUAAGAGCUGUUGCAUGACAUUAGUGUGAAGGAGUGCACUAUGAGUGUUUGCUCCCGUUAAGACGAAGCAUCCACUCAAGGUCUUCUGAGGCUGUGAAUAGCAUUUAAGCGCCCGCUUGCAGUUUGAUGUGGUUUUUCGACUUAUUAACUUGCCCAAUUGCAACCCUAAGAUAAACCAUGUUUAGGUGGUUGAGACUUGAGAAUUAAUUCUCAAUUCUAAGAUUAGAGAGGUUUAGAGGAUGCUAAGAGAUGUAAUUCGCUUGUAUCAUCCUCUUAUAAUGCACUAAUGUCCUAGUGCAAUAUGGUGGUUUUUCAUCCCAAACUUGGGUUUUCAUGUACAUAUUCUUUGUGUUAUUUAUUGCUUGUACUUUAUUCUUUGAAUUUUACAUAUUAUACUUCAAUUGAAGAGUUAUUUCACCUUUA
RNA transcript from Beta vulgaris subsp. vulgaris (sugar beet), 3455 nucleotides. RefSeq lists it as uncharacterized. The transcript has 12 exons. Lineage: Eukaryota; Viridiplantae; Streptophyta; Magnoliopsida; Caryophyllales; Amaranthaceae. The record is from RefSeq and is a predicted model, not a curated record.